RNAcentral lists this ribosomal RNA (292 nucleotides) under uncultured bacterium. RNAcentral's name for it is "partial 16S ribosomal RNA". It matches the Rfam family "Bacterial small subunit ribosomal RNA", at positions 505 to 796 of the family's 1533-position model. The record is from RNAcentral.
GUGUCAGCAGCCGCGGUAAUACGUAGGGUGCGAGCGUUAAUCGGAAUUACUGGGCGUAAAGCGUGCGCAGGCUGUUUUGUAAGUCAGAUGUGAAAUCCCUGGGCUCAACCUAGGAACUGCGUUUGAAACUACAAGGCUAGAGUGUAGCAGAGGGGGGUAGAAUUCCACGUGUAGCAGUGAAAUGCGUAGAGAUGUGGAGGAAUACCAAUGGCGAAGGCAGCCCCCUGGGUUAACACUGACGCUCAUGCACGAAAGCGUGGGGAGCAAACAGGAUUAGAUACCCUCGUAGUCC